Armillaria nabsnona is the source of this 95-nucleotide non-coding RNA. Lineage: Eukaryota; Fungi; Basidiomycota; Agaricomycetes; Agaricales; Physalacriaceae. The record is from the annotation of a GenBank genome assembly.
AAUUCUCUGGUAGUAUAUCGGUUAGUACACGCGCCUGUCAUUCCCUAUAUAUAAGACAUUUUGCGCGAAAGCUGGGUUCGACUCCCAGGUAAUUG